AUUGAACGCUGGCAGCAUGCCUUACACAUGCAAGUCGAACGGCAGCACGGGUGCUUGCACCUGGUGGCGAGUGGCGAACGGGUGAGUAAUAUAUCGGAACGUACCUUAUUGUGGGGGAUAACGCAGCGAAAGCUGUGCUAAUACCGCAUAAUCCCUAAGGGGGAAAGCGGGGGACCGUAAGGCCACGCGCAAUUAGAGCGGCCGAUACCUGAUUAGCUAGUUGGUGAGGUAAAGGCUCACCAAGGCAACGAUCAGUAGCUGGUCUGAGAGGACGAUCAGCCAGACUGGGACUGAGACACGGCCCAGACUCCUACGGGAGGCAGCAGUGGGGAAUUUUGGACAAUGGGGGCAACCCUGAUCCAGCAAUGCCGCGUGAGUGAAGAAGGCCUUCGGGUUGUAAAGCUCUUUUGUCAGGGAAGAAACAGCAGCUCUAACACAGUCUGCGAAUGACGGUACCUGAAGAAUAAGCACCGGCUAACUACGUGCCAGCCGCCGCCGUAA
Molecule: ribosomal RNA, 501 nt
Filed under: uncultured bacterium
Lineage: Bacteria
Description: partial 16S ribosomal RNA
Rfam family: Bacterial small subunit ribosomal RNA
Source: RNAcentral